UCCUACCACAAGCAAUGGUUGUUGCCUGAU
This 30-nucleotide non-coding RNA is filed under the name Mus musculus (house mouse). The record is from RNAcentral. Lineage: Eukaryota; Metazoa; Chordata; Mammalia; Rodentia; Muridae.